RNAcentral lists this unclassified non-coding RNA (564 nucleotides) under Hevea brasiliensis (rubber tree). The record is from RNAcentral. Lineage: Eukaryota; Viridiplantae; Streptophyta; Magnoliopsida; Malpighiales; Euphorbiaceae.
CGUCCAUUUAACUUAUCAAUAAUUCUAUCAUUUUAUAAAAUAUUCCAAACAAAUAAAUUUUUUUUACAAACUCAUUUGAAUUAAAUUCUUUUAAUAGAAUUGAAUUCUAACCUAAGAAUCAUUCCCAACAAGGCUAUUCAGUGAAUUUAUAACGCGCAAUCGCACUUCCAUCAAAAUGAUUCCUGGAAGAUCAGCAACCCAACAGCAGGUAAAGGCAGAGCACUAACAAAGGAGCAAGUAAGAACUUGUGGUUAAACAAGAAACAGCCCUAAAUAUGGGAUAAGACACACAUAUGGGUCCCUUCAAGUAAGAUUGAUUUUACAAUUCCACUGCUUCUACCUACUACGAGUGUUAGGCAUGGAGAAGUUCAAAAGGCAAUAAAGAUUAGUAAGACAACCUAAAUCCAGGGCAAAGGCAUAACUACAAAGGUACUCCCUGCCAUUGACCCAAGGUACAUUUUCAUUCUGAUCAUAGCAAACCUAAGUAAAUCACCAUUUCAUCCACCCACGUUAAUUCACAAUGACAAAAAUAAAGUAACAGCGAAGGGGUAAAAAAAAAAAAAAA